CUAAUUUCUUCUGAUAUCCGAGUGAAUUCUUGUUCAUUGGUCGAAUGGAUUUCACUCGACAGAGUCGCUACUUCUGCCACCUCUCCGGCGCGCCAAGAAGAUGACCCCAUGGACAUGGACAACGUCGUCUCGUCCCAGCCAGGUGCGUUGUAGUGACUCCGAGUGUUUUAUUCUAUCAUAGGUUCUGCCUCUUUCUUUUUC
RNAcentral lists this long non-coding RNA (201 nucleotides) under Hordeum vulgare. RNAcentral describes it as "long non-coding RNA (HVUL_LNC010018)". The record is from RNAcentral. Lineage: Eukaryota; Viridiplantae; Streptophyta; Magnoliopsida; Poales; Poaceae.